Long non-coding RNA from Saccostrea cuccullata (small rock oyster), 443 nucleotides. RefSeq lists it as uncharacterized. Lineage: Eukaryota; Metazoa; Mollusca; Bivalvia; Ostreida; Ostreidae. The record is from RefSeq and is a predicted model, not a curated record. The transcript has 3 exons.
AAAAAAAAAUUUCAACAAGGAAAUUGUUCGGAAGACGCUUUGAUUGGUGGCUGUAGAUACUCUGCCAGUAUAUAAGGCUUCAAUCUCGAUUCUCUAGUUAUCUGCAGCGUCCUAAAUCAUCAUGGGAAAACUGUUGGUUCUAUUGACCGUUCUCUGUCUGGUGGCAAUGACGACCGCUUACUGGCAUCCACCUGGAGAACAAAAAAUGUUGUGUUACAAUGACUUCGAUUGUAACCGCGGACAAUUUUGCCAAAUUGUGUCCAUUUUCCCAUCUAAGCGUGGCUACUGCUGUGACAUUAUGCCGAAUUAUGGUUGACACUAAAAGGACAAGAAUGGAGAAAGGCAGGUCACCGGCCAAAUAACAAUAACUGAAGUUUAAAAAACAAAUCUAAUCUGAAGAGAUCAGUGUGCAAUCAUUUGAUGAUUAAAGCAUUUUAAUAAAA